Molecule: ribosomal RNA, 280 nt
Filed under: Duganella sp. October_NA2A3
Lineage: Bacteria; Pseudomonadati; Pseudomonadota; Betaproteobacteria; Burkholderiales; Oxalobacteraceae
Description: partial 16S ribosomal RNA
Rfam family: Bacterial small subunit ribosomal RNA
Source: RNAcentral
CCCGCAACGAGUGCAACCCUUGUCAUUAGUUGCUACGCAAGAGCACUCUAAUGAGACUGCCGGUGACAAACCGGAGGAAGGUGGGGAUGUCGUCAAGUCCUCAUGGCCCUUAUGGGUAGGGCUUCACACGUCAUACAAUGGUACAUACAGAGGGCCGCCAACCCGCGAGGGGGAGCUAAUCCCAGAAAGUGUAUCGUAGUCCGGAUUGUAGUCUGCAACUCGACUGCAUGAAGUUGGAAUCGCUAGUAAUCGCGGAUCAGCAUGUCGCGGUGAAUACGUU